Molecule: ribosomal RNA, 1995 nt
Filed under: gut metagenome
Description: bacterial LSU rRNA
Rfam family: Bacterial large subunit ribosomal RNA
Source: RNAcentral
GAAAGUAAUAAAGGGCGUAUGGGGGAUGCCUAGGCUCUUGGAGGCGAAGAAAGACGUGGUAAGCUGCGAUAAGCCUCGGGGAUUUGCAAACGAGAAUUGAUCCGAGGAUUUCUGAAUGGGACAACCCGGCAGGCAGAAGGCCUGUCACACGAAAGUGGGCCAACCCUCUGAACUGAAACAUCUUAGUAGGAGGAGGAAAAGAAAGAAACAUCGAUUUCCUAAGUAGCGGCGAGCGAACGGGAAACAGCCUAAACCACAAUUGUUACGGCAACUGUGGGGUUGUAGGACUGCAAUAUUCAAAUGACUGUGAACUGGAAUGUUCUGGAAAGUUCAUCCAUAGAGAGUGAAAGACUCGUACAGGCAAGCACGUCAGGCGAUAGCAGUAUCCUGAGUAGGGCGGGACACGAGGAAUCCUGUCUGAAUCCGCCGGGACCACCCGGUAAGGCUAAAUACUCCCAAGAGACCGAUAGUGAACCAGUACCGUGAGGGAAAGGUGAAAAGAACCCCGAACAGGGGAGUGAAAUAGAACCUGAAACCAUACGCUUACAACCUGUCGGAGCGGCUUCGUGCCGUGACGGCGUGCCUAUUGAAUAAUGAGCCUACGAGUUACUAAUCACUGGCAAGGUUAAGUGCACGGAUGCACGGAGCCGAAGCGAAAGCGAGUCUGAAUAGGGCGUUUAGUCAGUGGUUGUAGACGCGAAACCUUGCGAUCUACCCUUGAGCAGGUUGAAGGUUGGGUAAAACCAACUGGAGGACCGAACGAAUAAGCGUUGAAAAGCUUCUCGAUGACUUGAGGGUAGGGGUGAAAGGCUAAUCAAGCUGGGAAAUAGCUCGUACUCCCCGAAAUGCCUUUAGGGGCAGCGUUGUAAUUAAGAGUCUACUGGAGGUAGAGCUACUGAUUGGAUGCGGGGGCUUCACCGCCUACCAAAUCCUGACAAACUCCGAAUGCCAGUAGUAUGAUUUACAGCAGUGAGCGACCGGGUGCUAAUGUCCGGUUACGAGAGUGGAACAACACAGACCAGCAACUAAGGUCCCCAAGAGUAUACUAAGUUGAUCUAACGAUGUUUUGCUGCAGAGACAGCUAGGAUGUUAGCUUGGAAGCAGCUAUUCAUUCAAAGAGUGCGUAACAGCUCACUAGUCGAGCGGCAAAGCGUGGAUAAUAAACGGGCAUCAAGUAUACCACCGAAGUUCUGGGCACGAAAGUGCGGUAGGGGAGCAUUCCAUUCCGCGUUGAAGCCGAACCGUGAGGUUUGGUGGAGUGUAUGGAAAAGCAAAUGUAGGCAUGAGUAACGAUAAUGCGGGAGAGUAACCCGCACACCGCAAGACCAAGGUUUCCUGAUCAACGCUAAUCGGAUCAGGGUUAGUCGGGUCCUAAGGGUAAGCCGAACGGUGAUCUCGAUGGAUAAUCGGUUAAUAUUCCGAUACUGACAUAUACCUCGAUGGAGAGACGAAGGAACGUAAGUGCCGCCACCUGACGGAAUAGGUGGUUAAAGGGCUUAGGUAUAGGGGCAGAUUAAGAGUUAGUCCUUGCUGAAACCUGACAGUACAGAGAGCCUACGGGCAAUUUGAUAGUGCACCCAAGUCGACUUCCGAGAAAAUCUUCUAAGUUAUAGUAUAUGUCACCCGUACCGUAAACCGACACAGGUGGUCGAGGAGAGUAUCCUAAGGUGCUCGAGUGAAUCACGGUUAAGGAACUAGGCAAAUUAACCCCGUAACUUCGGGAAAAGGGGUCCCAUCGCGAGGUGGGCGCAGCGAAGAGGUCCAGGCGACUGUUUAUCAAAAACACAGGGCUCUGCAAAUUCGAAAGAAGACGUAUAGGGCCUGACACCUGCCCGGUGCUGGAAGGUUAAGAGGGGAUGUCAUCGCAAGAGAAGCAUUGAAUCGAAGCCCCAGUAAACGGCGGCCGUAACUAUAACGGUCCUAAGGUAGCGAAAUUCCUUGUCGGGUAAGUUCCGACCUGCACGAAUGGUGUAACGAUCUGGACACUGUCUCAAC